GUGCUUGCUUCAGUAGCACAUAUUCUAAAGUUGGAGUGAUACAGAGAUUAGUAUGGGCCCUGAGCGAGGAUGACAUGCAAAUUCAUGAAGCAUUCCAUAUUUUU
This is a small nuclear RNA of Hyaena hyaena (striped hyena), 104 nucleotides long. The record is from RefSeq and is a predicted model, not a curated record. Lineage: Eukaryota; Metazoa; Chordata; Mammalia; Carnivora; Hyaenidae.